This 247-nucleotide long non-coding RNA is filed under the name Salvator merianae (Argentine black and white tegu). RNAcentral's name for it is "lncRNA (ENSSMRG00000013941.1)". Lineage: Eukaryota; Metazoa; Chordata; Lepidosauria; Squamata; Teiidae. The record is from RNAcentral.
GGGAAGCAGAAAGAGUCCAGCUUGGAUACUCAGAGGAAUCUGCAAAAACAGGCUUCCAGUAUCAAAGGCUUCUAGCCAAAGAAUACCGAGAGAGACACGGAACCAUUUGCUGUCCCCGGGCUUGCAGUCAACAGGAAACAUCACAAAAGUCUUGCCAGUUUCCGUAUCAAGACAAGAUCAUGCUAACAUGCUGUAUGAUGAGCGACGGACAAGGUAAGAAUAUAAUAUCAGACAAUGAUUACGCAGC